Molecule: ribosomal RNA, 651 nt
Filed under: uncultured Planctomycetales bacterium
Lineage: Bacteria; Pseudomonadati; Planctomycetota; Planctomycetia; Planctomycetales
Description: bacterial SSU rRNA
Rfam family: Bacterial small subunit ribosomal RNA
Source: RNAcentral
GCACUAGGUUUGUCCUGACGUGAGAUACGAAAGCGUGGGUAGCGAACGGGAUUAGAUACCCCGGUAGUCCACGCCGUAAACGAUGUCUACUAGAUUGCGGAUGUUCUGACACAUUCGCGAUCGAAGCAAAAGUGUUAAGUAGACCACCUGGGGAGUACGGUCGCAAGGCUAAAACUCAAAGGAAUUGACGGGGGCUCACACAAGCGGUGGAGCAUGUGGAUUAAUUCGAAGCAACGCGAAGAACCUUACCUGGGUUUGACAUGUUUGGAUGCCUAUCUAGAAACAGAUUUUGGCUGCCCUUCGGGGUGAAACUUACACAGGUGCUGCAUGGCUGUCGUCAGUUCGUGUCGUGAGACGUCGGGUUAAGUCCUUCAACGAGCGAAACCCUUGCCGUUAGUUACCAGCGAGUAAUGUCGGGGACUCUAACGGGACUGCCGGUGUUAAACCGGAGGAAGGCGGGGACGACGUCAAGUCAUCAUGGCCUUUAUGCCCAGGGCUUCACACGUGCUACAAUGGCGGUUACAGAGGGAAGCAAUAUCGCGAGAUGGAGCAAAUCUCUUAAAGACCGUCCCAGUACGGAUCGCAGGCUGUCAACUCGGCUGCGUGAAGGUGGAAUCGCUAGUAAUCGCGUAUCAGCAAUGACGCGGUGAA